Long non-coding RNA from Salvelinus sp. IW2-2015, 1010 nucleotides. RefSeq lists it as uncharacterized. NCBI's taxonomy places the organism in Eukaryota, Metazoa, Chordata, Actinopteri, Salmoniformes, Salmonidae. The record is from RefSeq and is a predicted model, not a curated record. The transcript is spliced from 4 exons.
ACAUGAGUAUGUGAUGCCCUUUGUAGGACUAACGCCCAUUGUCCUAUGGCUGCGCGCAACGCGAAUCAUUGUCCAUAGAAAAUCCAUAGGACGCAGGGCAGUUUACUUUAGGCAGCCCUCGCUUUCUUCUACAAAGUUUUCUCAACACUGAAAAAGUACAACAUGGCUACUAAGAGUGUAAACGCUAAAUCAAACUUCAAGUAUACACAUUUGGAGGAGAUUAUUGCAGAAAUUGACCGGGAGAGUGACACGAGGAGUCCUGCGCGCAAUAAAGAUUGGAAGGAAAAGGAAUUGGUUCCUCCAGUCUGACCCCUCUGCUGUCUCUGUCUCCACACCCACCCCUGCCUGACCAUAUAGAGGAGUGAAGGCUUUGGAAGUGCAUUCUCAUGAGCCAACUGAAGGGGGCAGCACAGGGGUGUUCCUCACCACCCAACAGGUCAAGCCACAGAGCCGACAGCAGCAGACCUGAGGCAUCUCCUCCUCAAAAUAAUUUGGCCAUGAAGGAGCUUUUCGGGGAGACCUUUGCGAGCAAGGACACAGGCAAGACGUUUGCCAACAGUAUCAAAGAGGAGGUGGCAUCCUACAAGGCAGCAAGCAGCAUUCCAAUGGAUGGUGAUCCACUGGCAUGGUGGAAAAGCAAUGAGUGUAAAUACCCUCACAUUGCCAUGACGGCAAGACGCAACCUGCCUGUGCGAGAGGGUGUUCUCCACGGCAGGAGACAUAGUGACUGCAAAGAGGUCUACCCUCUCCCCAGACAAUGUAGACAUCCUCAUCUCUUUUGAAAAAUUAUUUGAAUUUAUAAGCUCAGGUCUGCUUUGCUUUCUUUUUUUAUGAUGUGGACACAGGCUAUUUUUUAUUUCACUAUUGUUCAAAGGAAGAAGGUAUCAUGCCUCAUAUUGCACUUUAAUUUAACAAUUGAGUAUUGAAUAUUUUAUCUUAAUAUUUUAUUUAAACAUUGAAAAGUUCCUUGCUUUAAGUGUUCUUUAAGUAAUAAAUGGAAAGCAAAGUUA